UUGUCUGAAUUUCUGAACAUCUAAACCACAGUGGUCAUAACAACAGUUUGUUAACUCUAAAAGUUGAACAUUGAAUGUGACUGAAUUUCCCCACAAAAGAAAAAGAACAUGACUGAAUUGAACUGAAUUUUUUAACACUGAAAUUAGCAAUCACCACCAGGUUGUGUCCAGAAGUAGAAAGAGGGGGUGGUGCCUCGUCCACCUGCAGCAGCAACAACAAAAGCUCCACCACCUCUUCCAGAUCGGAGCAACUGCGCACAAAAAAACCAAGGAAUCACAAGGAGGGGAGAUGAAGAAACCGACAAGACAAGGGGUUUAGGUAUCAUGCGCGCGCACCAUAGUUGGAGAUCUGUGGAUGAGCUCGCCGGAG
Molecule: long non-coding RNA, 370 nt
Filed under: Triticum aestivum (bread wheat)
Lineage: Eukaryota; Viridiplantae; Streptophyta; Magnoliopsida; Poales; Poaceae
Description: long non-coding RNA (TAES_LNC002203)
Source: RNAcentral